GUCCUGUGACUGCGUACCUUUUGUAUAAUGGGUCAGCGACUUAAUUUUAGUAGCAAGGUUAACCAUCUAGGGGAGCCGUAGGGAAACCGAGUCUUAACUGGGCGUCAUAGUUGCUAGGAUUAGACCCGAAACCGAGUGAUCUAGCCAUGGGCAGGUUGAAGAUUGAGUAACAUCAAUUGGAGGACCGAACCGACUAAUGUUGAAAAAUUAGCGGAUGACUUGUGGCUAGGGGUGAAAGGCCAAUCAAACUCGGAGAUAGCUGGUUCUCCCCGAAAGCUAUUUAGGUAGCGCCUCGGACGAAUACUACUGGGGGUAGAGCACUGUUAAGGCUAGGGGGUCAUCCCGACUUACCAACCCUUUGCAAACUCCGAAUACCAGUAAGUACUAUCCGGGAGACACACGGCGGGUGCUAACGUCCGUCGUGAAGAGGGAAACAACCCAGACCGCCAGCUAAGGUCCCAAAGUUAUAGCUAAGUGGGAAACGAUGUGGGAAGGCUCAGACAGCCAGGAUGUUGGCUUAGAAGCAGCCAUCAUUUAAAGAAAGCGUAAUAGCUCACUGGUCGAGUCGGCCUGCGCGGAAGAUUUAACGGGGCUAAGCUAUACACCGAAGCUGCGGCAAUGUGCU
RNAcentral lists this ribosomal RNA (625 nucleotides) under Photobacterium damselae. Its description in RNAcentral is "bacterial LSU rRNA". It matches the Rfam family "Bacterial large subunit ribosomal RNA", at positions 588 to 1214 of the family's 2925-position model. The record is from RNAcentral. RNAcentral also lists the same sequence under 1 other name. Lineage: Bacteria; Pseudomonadati; Pseudomonadota; Gammaproteobacteria; Vibrionales; Vibrionaceae.